AGAUAAUUCGGAGGCAUUAAAGAUCGGCCUUGGUGUAACUGGUGGUGUAAUUGGAGGGGCAUUGAUUGUACUUGUGUUGGUUUGGUACGUUAAGAAGAGACCACAAGCUUACUCUCUUCAUCCUGAUGAAAAACCUUCCAAUUUUGAAGAGUAAAAGAUAAUGUCCAUCGUCAUGCAAAAUAUUUAUAACGGCCACCAUUCUGUUAAUAACUCAUGAAAGUUCAUUUUGUAGUUUUUUCAUAACUUUUUUGUUUUUUUAGAAUUUUUUUUUUUUUGUAGUUUUUUUUACUAGGAUCAGUAGAAGCACUCACAGCACUUAACUAACCACUGUGUUUGUAGUUUUGUAAUAAUUGAUACAUUGUCAUCUGUUAUGACAUCACUAGUAUGACAUCAUAAUCACUGAGGAUGCCACUGGAUGAUUGGAUGACUAAAUGAUGUAAUAACGAUGUCCAUUUUUGUUUUUAGUUUUAUAAAUAAAAAAUCUUCGGUAUAA
Ciona intestinalis (vase tunicate) is the source of this 493-nucleotide non-coding RNA. The record is from RefSeq and is a predicted model, not a curated record. Lineage: Eukaryota; Metazoa; Chordata; Ascidiacea; Phlebobranchia; Cionidae.